UGCUCAGCGCUCCUGCCUCUCACGUCCCAGGUCCCGGGAUCGGAUCCCCGGGAGACAAGUGUUUUUCCUGCUUGUUGGGUCCUGCAGGACACUUGUAGGCCAAAGUCUGAGUACGGUGCUCUCGCCUCUCAUGCUCCAGGUCUCAGGAUGGGACCCCCAGAAACUUUUUACACCCGUUUGAGCCUUAGGCCCAGCAGCCUGGAGGAGGCUCAAAUGGCCUCGGAGGGUGGCGGCUGGCUCAGGAGCCCUGCGGAGGCGACUUACCUCGAGUCCCAGGUCUGCAGUUCAAGCUGCUGUAGAAUUGCAGUGACAACAUGAAGCAGUUUACUUUUGUCAACGUGUUUUAUUUUCACUAACUCUUGUUAAAUAAAGACCGAGGGAGGCCCCUAGAAGCCUGUUGUUUGAACCACAGAGAAACUUACAAACCAUUAAACCUCUCCAGGUCUUUGUUUUUCGGGCAGAAACGGCAAGUGUCUGCAGGGCGUCCCCUGUCCUCUGCAGCUUGACUCCAGCCUCGUCUGCCAUCCAGACUGCUGAGAGUGGCAGGAGGGGACAGGGGCUGAGUGACACACCAGGAAGCAGAGAGAAUAUAAAAGUGAGGGAGAUCCCAGCCCUGCUGUUUCCUGAGUUCUCGGCAACAAGUCUGCUGUGAACACAACCACAGUGAUUAAUGAUUUUAAUUUUCAGCCCCCAAGGCAGAAGGACAGGCUGGAACAGGGCAGGAAGCAGGUCCCAGGCCCUGCGGGAUCGGCACCGGCUCUCUGACUACCCGGCCUGGCAGCUGGCACCUGGGUCUUAAGUGCAGCCAAGAAACAGAUCUUAAAGCUUUUCUGAGAAGAAAGAUUUAAGGAUUCAGGAGCAUCUGAGGGGCCAAGAGAAAACUGCAGCCAAGUGUCCCGGGGACCCAGAGGGCUUGAGUUUUCUGGGUGGCAGAAGAGUUCGAGACCUGCUGAGACCAAGGUUGUCCCGUGGAAAGCCCAGGCCAUUGUGAGACUGACAGCCUACCCCCCCACCACACACACACACACACACACACACACACACGGCAGCUUCACCAUCUCUGUUUUGCUACAAAAAAUUUCAAAGAUGCAGGAAACAGCACCUACUGUGUUGCCCUCUGUGGAGACGCCGCUCCUUUUCCGCCACUGUCUUCUGUCUGUCUGGUCCGGUCCCGUGUUUUCUCCUCCUUCCCCUCUGGUUAGCAGGGCUUCUCCCCCAGGUGAAAUCUAUCCAGCUCACUCGUUUGAAGGUCUUUGCAAACCUUCAUCACUUCCCCCGUGAGGCCCAGCUGAGAGCUGCACAAUGUCUGUGCAAACCGUGAGCUCGGAUGCCUCACGGCCACGGGGCUCAGGAGGUGGCACAGUGGCUACAGCGUCGGGCCCUCUAGCAGGAGACCCAAGUUCCACGCCAGGCACCACAAAGUCCAGAGGGAUGCGCAUGCUCUCUCUCACCCGCUCCCUCCCUCUCAUUAAACUAAAUUAAGAAU
Molecule: long non-coding RNA, 1486 nt
Organism: Erinaceus europaeus (western European hedgehog)
Lineage: Eukaryota; Metazoa; Chordata; Mammalia; Eulipotyphla; Erinaceidae
Exons: 2
Source: RefSeq, a predicted model, not a curated record